UACAGAGGGGGCAAGCGUUGUUCGGAAUUACUGGGCGUAAAGGGCGCGUAGGCGGCCUGUUAAGUCGAACGUGAAAUCCCCGGGCUCAACCCGGGAACUGCGUCCGAUACUGGCAGGCUUGAAUCCGGGAGAGGGAUGCGGAAUUCCAGGUGUAGCGGUGAAAUGCGUAGAUAUCUGGAGGAACACCGGUGGCGAAGGCGGCAUCCUGGACCGGCAUUGACGCUGAGGCGCGAAAGCUGGGGGAGCGAACGGG
This 253-nucleotide ribosomal RNA is filed under the name uncultured bacterium. Its description in RNAcentral is "partial 16S ribosomal RNA". It matches the Rfam family "Bacterial small subunit ribosomal RNA", at positions 524 to 776 of the family's 1533-position model. The record is from RNAcentral.